This 454-nucleotide ribosomal RNA is filed under the name uncultured bacterium. RNAcentral describes it as "bacterial SSU rRNA". It matches the Rfam family "Bacterial small subunit ribosomal RNA", at positions 33 to 507 of the family's 1533-position model. The record is from RNAcentral.
ACGCUGGCGGCGUGCCUAACACAUGCAAGUCGAACGAAUGUAGCAAUACAUUAGUGGCGCACGGGUGAGUAACACGUGGGAAUCUGCCUCAUAGUUCGGAAUAACACCGGGAAACUGGUGCUAAUACCGGAUACGCCCUUCGGGGGAAAGUUUUUCGCUAUGAGAUGAGCCCGCGUUGGAUUAGCUAGUUGGUGGGGUAAUGGCCUACCAAGGCGACGAUCCAUAGCUGAUUUGAGAGGAUGAUCAGCCACACUGGGACUGAGACACGGCCCAGACUCCUACGGGAGGCAGCAGUGGGGAAUAUUGGACAAUGGGGGCAACCCUGAUCCAGCCAUGCCGCGUGUGUGAAGAAGGCCUUCGGGUUGUAAAGCACUUUAAGCGGGGAGGAAGGCCUGAUGGAUAAUACCCAUUGGGAUUGACGUUACCCGCAGAAUAAGCACCGGCAAACUUCGUG